AGGUCCCGCCUGCCCAGUGAAUUUUUCAACGGCCGCGGUAUUCUAACCGUGCAAAGGUAGCGUAAUCACUUGUCUUCUAAAUAAAGACUAGUAUGAACGGCUAAAUGAGAAUAAACCUGUCUCCUAUAACCAAUCAGUGAAACUGAUCUUCCAGUACAAAAGCUGGAAUCAAAACAUAAGACGAGAAGACCCCGUGGAGCUUAAAAUAAUAACUA
This 215-nucleotide ribosomal RNA is filed under the name Trachylepis bocagii. Its description in RNAcentral is "partial 16S ribosomal RNA". It matches the Rfam family "Bacterial large subunit ribosomal RNA", at positions 1850 to 2114 of the family's 2925-position model. The record is from RNAcentral. Lineage: Eukaryota; Metazoa; Chordata; Lepidosauria; Squamata; Scincidae.